Molecule: non-coding RNA, 193 nt
Filed under: Clostridiales bacterium
Lineage: Bacteria; Bacillati; Bacillota; Clostridia; Eubacteriales
Description: 6S RNA
Rfam family: 6S / SsrS RNA
About the family: E. coli 6S RNA was the first non coding RNA to be sequenced, but its function was unknown until recently.
Source: RNAcentral
AACAGUCUGAAAUAUGCGUUAAGCUCUUAUUUUGAACCUACACUUUUGCUACGGGAGUUCAAUAUCUAGAUGCGGAAAUGUACUUUCAUGUGAGUCCCCUUUGCGGCAUUGAAACUGAUUGAAACAUCUGUGCGGACACCCACCUAUCGUGAGAUAGGGAUCAAAAUCAGAGUACCGGUAUUUUGGAUUAUUA